RNAcentral lists this ribosomal RNA (433 nucleotides) under uncultured bacterium. RNAcentral's name for it is "partial 16S ribosomal RNA". It matches the Rfam family "Bacterial small subunit ribosomal RNA", at positions 29 to 507 of the family's 1533-position model. The record is from RNAcentral.
AACGAACGCUGGCGGCAUGCCUAACACAUGCAAGUCGAACGAGACCUUCGGGUCUAGUGGCGCACGGGUGCGUAACGCGUGGGAACCUGCCCUUAGGUUCGGAAUAACUCCCCGAAAGGGGUGCUAAUACCGGAUAAUGUCUUCGGACCAAAGAUUUAUCGCCUUUGGAUGGGCCCGCGUUGGAUUAGCUAGUUGGUAGGGUAAAAGCCUACCAAGGCGACGAUCCAUAGCUGGUCUGAGAGGAUGAGAAGACACACUGGGACUGAGACACGGCCCAGACUACUACGGGAGGCAGGAGAGGGGAAUAUUGGAAAAUGGGCGAAAGCCUGAUCCAGCAAUGCCGCGUGAGUGAUGAAGGCGUUAGGGUUGUAAAGCUCUUUUACACGGGAUGAUAAUGACAGUACCGGGAGAAUAAGCACCGGCUAACUCCGUG